This is a long non-coding RNA of Thamnophis elegans (Western terrestrial garter snake), 481 nucleotides long. RefSeq lists it as uncharacterized. The record is from RefSeq and is a predicted model, not a curated record. Lineage: Eukaryota; Metazoa; Chordata; Lepidosauria; Squamata; Natricidae. The transcript is spliced from 2 exons.
CACGCACCUUUCAGUUUGGGCAUGUGCGCAGACGCAUUUUGGGCAGCCGGAGUCUAAAAGGCUCAUCAUCACUGGAAUAUAUCUUCUAUCUAGGUCUUCUCUCUGAUGUAAUUCUUUAGGAAAACUAACUCAAAACCUGUAUUUUCUCUUCAGAUCAAGAUUGGGAAUUGCCUGAAGGCUUGGAUGAAGCAGAAAGAAAAAAUAGCUACAUAAAAAAGAGACACAGAGGAAAAAGUGCAGGAGAGGCUUGAAAUUUUGCACUCUGCAGACCUCCCAAAAAUGGCCCGUUGCAAUACAUAGAAACUGAAGAUCUACAGAAAACAGAAAAAAAUAAAACAUACCAUCUGUUAUCAAGAUAGCAAAUGUAAGUGCUCUGUGCCCUAAAUGUGUCCCCUGGCUCAAGCCAAAAGUAAAAAAGGAUUGUUAAUAGAAUGAUUAAAAAUGAAAUACAUUAUUAAAUAAAUACAUUAUUUGAGAAUAA